UGUUAUGCCAAUGAAUUCUCUGUCCAUUUGUUUACUUUCCAGGUCGAUGGGGAGGGUUCGGAUGCCACCGACUCAGAAAAACAAAACAAAAUGUGACGUGUGUUGAAUUAGUGCCACGUUUUGUUGGCCGCCCCGCUCGUGCCAAUAGCUGUCACGUCUGAGCCAGCGGGCCUGGACGGGGGUUUUGGUAUGUGGUGGCUGCGGUACAAGGACGGAUCAGAGCGUUACGUUCCGCUGCGUGCUGCUCGGUCAUCUGACACAUUCCUGUGGGAACGGUUCUCUCACGGCGGGGACAGUGCACACAUCUAGAGCAGACGGACACAGCGCGAAGGCAAAGCGCCUGGAAACCAACUGAGAGAUGACCAGAAGCUUUCCUCUCAUCGUUCCCGUCAAGACGUCUCUCCAACCUACGCAGCAUCCGUGGCCGUGACAAGAGAAGUGACGGGGAUUUGUGUUUGUACAGAGGUUGCAAGAAAAAAGGAGGAGGGAGGGAGGAGACUAAAUGGCAAGAAGCCAUGUUCAGCAUCCGUGAACGGCGACUGGCGAGCGGACGGUCCCACAGGAGAGGGGCUGGUUUCGCUGAGUGUGUGCUUGGAAUACUGAUACAUGGCCCCAGCAGCAGCAGCAGCAGCAGCAGCAGCAGCAGCCCUCCCCACCUGAGCCAGCAUCCCCCCAUCCGUUGUUUCUGCAUGCACGACCGAAAAAAACGAGUGCAGACACAACACGGGGCACCGCAGACAAAACACAACAACGUGACUUUCAGCACAAGCAGUGUGGACGAUCCUGAAUGGACCCUUUCACUUUCACCUUUGUAAUCUCGCUGCUGUUACAGCACAGCGGCUGACAGAGCAAUCUCUAUCUCAAGCUCCAUUUAGUAGCUGUGCUUAAGCUUUUGUCUUGAAAAAGAAACUCCUUCAUCAAGAUUGUCUCCAAUGAUUGAAAAAGCUCCAGAACAGCUACUUAAUGGACCGUAACUUUUAAUUUGGUUAAGUUGCUUAGAAACAGGAAGUUGAGAUCAUUUGAGUUGUGCUUUUGAACCAAAGGCGAAUGCUAACAUUUAAAUAUAUAUAUAAUCUUUCUACUACCUAUUAGGAGACAUACACAUACACAUUGCAUACUUUUAGUGAUCGCCAAGAAAAUGUUAUCUGUGAACUGGAAGGAUCUACAUAAUGGAAUGUACGACUGUAAGCCUACCACAGAAAAUUUACGUAUUUGGCACCGUACUGAACUCCACACACAGAUUUAAUAUAUCUGCACUUAAAAUUCAUGAUGUGCUGGAGGGAGAGAAGAUUUUGGUAUUGGAAGUGUUCUGGUCAACGUGAGUGUUUGUUGCAUGAAGGUCAACAGUCUGAUUUUUGACAAUUAAGCUUUUUUAUUAUUUUUUUUUAGCAUCCAUAUGAAGAUAGAUUAAAUCUGUCUCCCCGUAACGCGUUAACCCCGUCAUGUGUUGAGUCGUAUCUUGAGUUGUGUCUCUUGCUAUGUCCUGCUUAAAGUUUGUAAGAUUUUUGAGAUUCCAAAGCAUCAGUUUUUAUUGACGAGUUGGGAAUGAGAUGUGAGCUUUGAAUACAUAAAAGCAAAAAGGCAUGGAAGAGGAAGAUUUAACCUCCAGUACCUGUAAUUUGUUAUACCAAUAUCCACUGGCGAGUUCAGAAACACUGAUCAUUGCUGCUAGAGGCUUAACUGUUGCUGGACGAUAGUCGAUAGUUUCCGAUUGAUCCACUUGUGAUUUUUGCUUUGAUUUUGAUGCCAAAUACAUCAGGCUUUAUCGAAAGCAUGAUAAUAAUAGUUGUGAUUAAGUGCUUUAUUAUUGUUUUGUAAAAUUGCGUCAACCGAAAUAAAUUUCAAUUUCAAAUUUU
This is a long non-coding RNA of Acanthopagrus latus (yellowfin seabream), 1856 nucleotides long. RefSeq lists it as uncharacterized. Lineage: Eukaryota; Metazoa; Chordata; Actinopteri; Spariformes; Sparidae. The record is from RefSeq and is a predicted model, not a curated record. The transcript is spliced from 2 exons.